RNAcentral lists this ribosomal RNA (1445 nucleotides) under uncultured Bordetella sp. Its description in RNAcentral is "partial 16S-23S ribosomal RNA intergenic spacer". It matches the Rfam family "Bacterial small subunit ribosomal RNA". The record is from RNAcentral. Lineage: Bacteria; Pseudomonadati; Pseudomonadota; Betaproteobacteria; Burkholderiales; Alcaligenaceae.
UAGUAACAGAGGUUCAGUCGCGAAAGAAAGCUCAGAUUGAACGCUGGCGGAUGCUACACAUGCAAGUCGAACGGCAGCACGGACUUUGAUCGUGGCGAGUGGCGAACAGGUGAGUAAUGUAUCGACGUGCCUAGUAGCGAGGAUAACUACGCGGCAUGUCUUCUAUACGCCUUCAGAAAAGCAGGGGACCUUCGGGCCUCGCACUAAUGAAACGGCCGAUAUCGGAUUAGCUAGUUGGUGGGGUAACGGCUCUAUACAGGCGACGAUCCGUAGCUGGUUUGAAGACGACCAAUACACGGGACUGAGACACGGCCCCAGACUCUGGAGGCAGCAGUGAAAUUUUUGGACAAUGGAAACCACGAUCCAGCCAUCCCGCGUAUGCGUCAGGCCUUCGGGUUAUAAAAGCACUUUUGGCAGGAAAGAAACGGCGCGGGAUAUGCCCCGUGCAACUGACAAUACCUGCAGAAUAGCACCGGCUAACUACAGUGCCAGCAGCCGCGGUAAUACGUAGGGUGCAAGCGUUAAUCGGAAUUACUGGGCGUAAAGCGUGCGCAGGCGGUUCGGAAAGAAGAUGUGAAAUCCCAGAGCUUAACUUUGGAACUGUUUUUAACUACGAGCUAGAGUGUGUCAGAGGAGGUGGAGAUUCCGUGUAGCAUUGAAAUGCGUAGAUAUGCGGAGGAACACCGAUGGCGAAGGCCUCCUGGGAUAACACUGACGCUCAUGCACGAAAGCGUGGGGGCAAGCAAGUUGAUCACCUGGUAGUCCACGCCCUGACGAUGUCAACUAGCUGUUCAGGCCUUCGGGCCUUGGUAACAUGCUGCGUGAAGUUGACCCGCCUGGGGAGUACGGUCGCAAGAUUAAAACUCGAGAAUUGACAGGGACCCGCACAGCGGUGGAUGUGGAUUAAUUCGAUACAACGCGAAAAACCUUACCUACCCUUGACAUGUCUGGAAUCCCGAAGAGAUUUGGGAGUGCUCGCAAGAGAACCGGAACACGAUUGCUGCAUGGCUGUCGUCAGCUCGUGUCGUGAGAUGUUGGGUUAGAAUUACAACGAGCGCAACCCUGUCAUUAGUUGCUACGAAAGGGCACUCUAAUGAGACUGCCGAGUGACAAACCGGAGGAAGGUGGGGAUGACGUCAAGUCCUCAUGGCCCCUGCUGGGUAGAGCACACGUCAUACAAUGGUCGGGACAGAGGGUCGCCAACCCGCGAGGGGGAGCCAAUCCCAGAAGCGAUCGCGAAUCAGAUCCGCAGUCUACCUCGACUGCAUGAAGUCGGAAUCGCUAGUAAUCGCGGAUCAGCAUGUCGCGGUGAAUACGUUCCAGGUCUUGUACACACCGCCCGUCACACCAUGGGAGUGGGUUUUACCAGAAGUAAGUUAGCUAACCGUAAGGAGGGCGAUUACCACGGUAGGAUUCAUGACUGGGGUGAAGUCGUAACAAGGUAA